AUCCACCCUUCACCAUAACUUACCUAUAUCCAUCCACCACCAUAACCUAUCACUCAUCCAUCAUACCACACAUUGUGCCGCUGCAAAGAAGAAAAAGGAGGAUUGCUUGGAGUUGUGCUAGCCAUUCAAUUUGGAUUGUUGAAGCAUUCUAGGUGUAUUCUACUUUGGUUUUCAAUGUUUAAUUUCAAUUGUUAACUAAACCCCUUUUGGCUAGGGGGAAUUUCGAAACCAUGAACAUAUUUGUGUUAUGAAUUGAUUAAUUCCAGUUGUGAUUUCAUAAAGUGUGAAUGCAAUUUGCUUAACUGUUUUAUUCAAAACUUAUUCUUGUAUGUUGAUUAAGAAGGCCUACAUAGUUUGCAUGCUUGAAUUUGAUGCUAAAAUAUAAAUGAGUUUCACCUAAUCGUUACAAAUUUAUAUUCAUGAGUAGUGAAGGUUGCUAGUCACAAUCGCAUUAAUUGAAUUCUUGGCAAACAUAUCAUGCAUUCAUAGUUACGAAUGUCUCGUCAACACUUUUGAUUUUCAUGGAACGUAAUGAUCUCUGAUUGUAUCUCUAUUAUGCAUUCAUGUAGGGGACCUUUGGAGAAUGAUUUGGGUUGUCGCAUGCAUUCAUCCAAUUCAAUGAGUAAAGGAAAAUCUGAGAGUUAAUUAGUGCAUUACGGUUAAUCUGGGGUGUUGAGCUUUAUAAUUUAUUGAAAAGCAACUGGAAAUCGUUUCAUAAGCAAGUGUGUCAUGUGUGGAGAAGGAUCAUCUAGCUAGCCCAUCAUCCAUUUAAUUCACCAAAUUCGUCAAAAAUCUGUAUAGUUCUAGUUUAUGUUUUGUUUUACUUAAAAUUCGUUAGUUUUGUGUAUCAAAUUAGUUAGAAUCUAUCUUAGUUUGUGUUUUUAAGUGUUUUGAGUCAAGUUAAAACCAAUUUUCGUUCAAAGUCAUUCCUAGUGUCUAGUUUGAGUUUAUUAAUUGUUUUAAGCUGUUUUGUGACAUGCUUGAACUAGUGUUUGUGGAUUUUACGUUGUUGUAAUUUGUUUUAUGACUUGUAUUACAAACUACAAAAUUCCUAUGUUUUAUGAGCUUUAUGUAUGUUUUCUUGAACAAUAUUUCUCAUAAUUUUUCAAUUACCAUUCAAAGAUCAUCCAUGCAAAAAUUCAUUGAAAGCGAAAAUCAUGUAAUUACUAAUUGUGGCAUGACAAAUAGAAGACGACGAUGACAAAGUUGUCGAUAACAUAUAUAUAACUUUGCGUUCUAAUAUUAACUUGGAAUCUAUAAAAUUUGGUGUUAAUUGUAAUAUUUAGUGAUUAUUUACAUAAUAGUAGAGGAUCCUUAUAAGGUGGACGUACUAAUGAGAAUACAUCACAGAAAUAUGCUAUUAACUAAAUUCUAUAAAUACUAAAACCCAGCAACUGUUCUAAAGCACAAUGAAAUGACGGAUUUGUCAUCUUCAAACGUUCUUUUCUUUCAUUUAUUUUAAGGAAAACUAAUGAAAAAGGCUUGAAAACUUUUAGUUUUAAUGAUAAGGACAAAAUAAAGGGUAAAGUGAAUAGUACCAUGUUUGACUUUUUAGUGUAAAAAUGUGGUUUUGUUAAAGUGAACAGUACCGUGGGCUUUUCGUUAAAACUCCCUUUAUUUUAUGGGGGUACAGUGAAAAGACAAGAAUGCCCAUUCUUAGGAAUGGCUCGCUCGUGGCUUUCCUCCCCCACCAUUGCUUUCUUGCUUCAAUCCGAAUCGACACGUUCCCUGACCUUUUCCUUGUUGCUGCAAUUCGAAUCCACACGACAACCUGCUCAUCCAAAUCAAUUUCUGCACGUUUCAUUUGGCAACCCUAUUCUUCCACAUCGUUCUAAACCCAAAACCCAAAUCGUUGUUGCUCAUCCAAAACCCAGACAGCCGCCACCACCACGUUUUACAAAUUCCUCUUGACUGAAGGUAAGCGAAAAUUGCCCUCUUCAUCUCCACAAGUAAAUUUGAUUAUCUAUUAAUUUCCCCCAUUUUUUUUUUUGUUUCAAAUUUACAUCGAUUGCUAGGGUUUUGGAAGGGUGUAUGGGUUUGGGUAAUAUUCAUAAACCAGGUUGCACAGACACUUUGAAACUCCAAAGUGUCAGAGUUUGUUUUUAAUCCUCCAACAUUUGACGCAUUUUAGACUAGGUUGCAUGGACACUCCGACUCGCCCCUGACAUAGGUUGGACACAACCCGGCAAGGGUAUUUUUGUAAAUUUGAAAAAUAUUUUGAAUCAAUUUGGAAACAUUGAAACAUUUGGGGCAAUUUGAAAAUACAAAACCUAAAGCCUAACAACAAAGGAAAACUAAUGAAAAUGACUUGAAAACCGUGAGUUUUAACCAAAAACCAUGUAAUAACUUUAUUUAAUGGUUAGGACAAAGCCCAAUACUAAAUCAGUCUAAUUAAAAUGGCCCAAAUAUUGAGUUUACAAUUUUAUCCCUAACGGCAACCUUUUGUCCGUUAAUCUCUCUUCAUUAUGGAUCUCUCUAAUAUUUUCUCCCCCAUUUUUUCCUGACAUUCAAAACCUUCCAUUUUUCUUUCUAAUCUCGCAUAGCAACUCCAUUUCUAUCACUAUGUAAAAACUACAGCUUCGACCCCAAACCUAAUUUUGAGCCGUCUCCAUCUCUGUGAAAAUCAGAAACGAUCUCUUACAAGCAAAACGGUAUGAUUUUGUCACUCUCUCCCUCCCUCCCAAAAUUUCUCUCUCUCUCUCUCUCUCUCUCUCUCUCUCUCUCUUCUCUGUAAAGAUGAGCAAGGGAUCUGCACUUUCACCGACAUCGGCAAAAAAGCCAAAGGUGAAUUUUUGCCCUUCCCUCCUCAUUCAUCUGAUUAUUAACGUUUCAAUUUGAUGAAGAAGAAAAGAAGAUUUCGAGGUACUAUUUUUAAUUUUUCUUCUUCAGUGGAGUUCAUCAUUUGUUUCUCCAGGAAAUAAAUUUGAGAUUUGUUAGCUUUUUGUUCAGUUUUUUUUCUUUUCAGAUACAGUGUAUUUUUUUUUCCAGAUACAAUUUUGCCAACAUUUUUUUCCAGAAACAGUGUUAUGUUUUUGUUUUCUAGAAACAGUGUUAUAUUUUGGUUUUUUUUUCAAAUACAAUGUUUGUUUGUUGAUAGGAGCAUAUUUAUGCGACUUAGUUAGCUUGUUUCUUGGCAUUUAUUUAGUUAGUUUCUACUUAUUAUAGUGAUUUAAGCUAUUUUCGUGUGUUUGUAGGUUCAAAUGACAAAGUUGGCAAGAAAGUGCAUUUUGGUGCAGUUUUGGGCUGAAUUGGAGUGCAUGCAUGUGGGGCAAGUUGAAUGGACGUUUUUGGUGCUUAAAUGAGGUUAGGAACAUGCUACAAAUUUGGAGAAACAAAUGCAAGUUGCAAGAAUGGUUGGUGCACUCACCUAACCUACCAGAAAUUGAAUGGAUGGUGCACUUACCUAAAUUGAUGGAUGGUGCACUCAUCUAACUCACCUAAAUUGAAUGGAAUGUGCACUCAUCUAACUCACCUAAUCCAUCAUCUCCCUAUAAAUACCCAUUGCCAUGCAUUCAUGUAAGAGACCCAUCUACCCUUCACCAUAACUCACCUAUAUUCAUCCACCACCAUAACCUACCACUCAUCCAUCAUUCCACACCUUGUGCCGCUGCAAAGAAGAAGGAUGAGGAUUGCUUGGAGUUGUGCUAGCCAUUCAAUUUGGAUUACUGGAGCAUUCUAGGUGUAUUCUACUUUGGUUUUCAAUGUUUAAUUUCAAUUGUUUCUAUUUAAUUGCAAGUAUGAGGAACUAAACCCCUUUUGACUAGAGGGAAUUUCGAAACCAUGAACAUAUUUGUGUUAUGAAUUGAUUAAUUCCAGUUGUGAUUUCAUAAAGUGUGAAUGCAAUUUGCUUAACUGUUUUAUUCAAAACUUAUUCUUGUAUGUUGAUUAAGAAGGCCUACAUAGUUUGCAUGCUUGA
This 3916-nucleotide long non-coding RNA is filed under the name Malus domestica (apple). RNAcentral's name for it is "long non-coding RNA (MDOM_LNC005092)". The record is from RNAcentral. Lineage: Eukaryota; Viridiplantae; Streptophyta; Magnoliopsida; Rosales; Rosaceae.